AAAGGAUUCUCCUUGACCAACACAGGAUAUACUGAGUGUGCGUGCGUGCAUGUGUGCGUGCGUGCAUGUGAGUGUGUCUAUGAGAGAGAGGGAGAGAGAGUAGGUGUGUGUUUGUGUAUGUGUUAUAUAUGUAUAUUGUAUAUAUACACAGGUAGAUUUGUUAAUUAAUAUAUUUAUUCAUUCAUUUAAAACUUGUCACUACUUGCUCCUCCAGUCUUUUUAUAUAUUUCUCCCUUUUUAACUGCCAAUUGUCAGGUAGCUAAUAGCCGGGAGCAAUGGAUUAAAUCCCUUAUAAUGAACUCUUCUGAGGUUCUACAGUAUAAAAUUUUGCUAAAGUCACACUUUGUUCUGAAGGCACAGAGAUACUUUGUGUCAUAACAAAGGCAGUGCCUAGUACCUACUAUUAAGUUAUCAAUAACAAAAAGAAAUGUUUCAGAAGAUACAGAAAAGAGAAAAAGCUCUGGAGUUGAGACACAUCUGGAAUCAAGUUCUGUCUCUGUAAUUUGACCUUAGGGAAGUUUCUUCCCAUACAGGAUGCUCCGUUCCCUCAGUUGCAAAAUGAGGAAUUAAUAUCUGACUUCAUGCUUCUGUAUGUAUCUGAUACCUAAUCUUAUGAGUAGCACAGUGUACACUCCUAGUAAAUGUUGUUCUUCUACAGGAGUGGGAUAAAAACAAGAUUCAUUCAGAAUUCUGCCCCCUUUCCUAAUUGGAAGAGGUUUACGUUAAAACCUUACCAGUACAGUUUACAUUUAUUUGUGUCUCUCAAUUAUUUUAGUUCAGUGUUUCUCAACCCUGUCAGCACAUUAGACUACCUGAAGAGUCUCUAAAACAUAUUGAUGUACAAGCCUUACGUAAAACUAGUCAAAUUAGAAUUCCUUUGAGGUGGGGCCCAACCAGUGGUUUUGUAAAACUUGCCUAGAUGAUAAUGUCAGCCAAAGUUGACAACUGAUCUUGUCCAUUUGAGCAGAAUCCGAAGUGAAACUUUUGUGGACUUUCCUCUCCAUGGUGAUAAGAAAUUGAUCAUGCUUUUUCUUGGACCUCAGUCCCUCCGACUCUCAAGCUCUCUGCCCCAUCUUAUCUUCCUUUUUCACUAGGAUUUCAAGUAUUCAAAAGGUUCAUGGUGAAAGUCUGCAUCUGUUGAUUCUGUUCUCCAAAAUGUUGGGGCACAAUUCAGGAAGAGAGGGAAAGGUUGAUAGGUUAUGAGAUUAUAGUACAUUUGCUACCUGAUGAUACAAUUAAACAAAUUACUUGAAAGCUCAGCUCAUCUUAUCUUUUCCCCCACUAUAAUGCCAAUUCUAUAUGGGUUAUUUUUGUUCAAAAAGGCAGCAAAAAGAUAUUAUAGCCAGAGAAACAGCGUGUUAUUGCAGGUAACUGCUCUGCCGGAGAAACUGUGUUCUCCCUACCCUAUUAUUACAAAUUCUAAGAAGGAAAAAGAGAUUCCCUUUUCCUUCUUUAACUGGAUAAGUAGAACAUAUUCUAUAGGACUUGUUGAUUAUUGAAACUACUUAGAAAUUGUAAAAUUUGAUUUACAUCUGAUACAGGGGGAAUUUCAUCAUUUAAGAGACCACUUCAUGAUUCUGCCUCCUAUUGCUUUGUGUUCAAGCUGGUGAGUCCGUUUUGGCCUCCUCUUUCUGUGGUGAUGGGUAUGCAUAUUCUUUUACUACAGUAUGCUGAGAUUUUUUUUAAAAAUUUUUUUAAGGGCCUCAUUGAUUCAGAAACAGCCCCUCACCUGGCAUAUCAUUUGUAAUUUUUGUCAAGAUUCUCACAGAUGUUAAAUGUAGUAUGAUAAUACUUAGUAACACCCGGCCAGGCUAUUACAGAAUUACAUUUAUUUUAAUUGAUAUAUGAUAUAGUUGUCAUAAAGAAAACAAUCAUGCUAAUAGGCUUCUUACUACCCAAAUUGAACAUAGAUCUCUAUGGAAAAGGGUAGCAAUUAUAAACAAAUCAAUAAUUCAGACACAGCUAAAUAGAAAAUACAGUCUUAGGAAAUUGCUCCCUGAAGAGAAAUAUAAUAUUGUCAUUCCUAUAUCACUGAACAAAUGUAUAUAAUUGGCAGUGUUGUGGAAAAAAUACGAAACUUAGAGAGUUGGGUUAAAAUUCCAGCUUUGCUGCUUCUUUUCUUUGUAACCUAAAGCAAGUUACAUAACUUCCUAGUUUUGCCAUCUGUUAGUCCACAUGAUGAUACUUGCCACAAACUUUAAUGAAAAUCAAUAUAAAACACCCGUGUAGUGCCUGGUGGCAUAGUUGACACUCACUAAUUGGCAGUUCUUAUCACAACAGAAUCUUCGUUCUCUCUCCCUCUGAAGAAGAAUUAGCCCUUCUCCUCUUCCAAAUGCAGCUUUUCUGUUUAUGGAAAAUCAUUAUUUAGCAAUUUGACCUACAUUAGUCUAUACUUGCCUACUUGAUGUCCAGAUCUAAGCUAUCUAAAUAAGAUUUCCGGUAGAGAAUAGAAAAAGAUACAGCAAAAAGUCUAACACCUUUAAUUUGGUUUCCUCUUAGAUUUGUCAGCCAUCUCUUCUUUGAGCUACUUUCAUUUUAUGUGGAUCAUUUUCUCAUUCCUCCCCUUGCACUUUUCUUUGUUCCCGGAACAAUUUGUCAGCGAAUACUUCCCACCAUAUUUUUUGGCUCACUUUUCUUUUGAAAAUUUACUUCCUUCAGAAAAAUGUGUCCUUGGGAUUAAGAGAAGGACAUGAAGCAGAAAUCAGCUUGUGUCACUCAGGCCUACGGAGGAAGUGGUCUUUCUCUCGGGAUGAACAGCACUUCAUACGGUGUAAUAAAUGAGAUGGAUGAAUAAAGCGCUAAUCUCCAUUAGUGUCUCCACAGUGAAUUUUACCAUUGUGACCCUUGUGUCGGGGGCAGUUGUAAAAAGGACCCAGGUUUCUUUCUGGUUAUCACAUUUUUUUUUCACUUUAGCCCCCCUGUGGGCCCUAGAAAUACACUCUCGAGAUAUUUUUCAUUUCCAUUUUUAAGUAGUGAAAUAAUCUUAAUUAAAGAGAACUGGAAACACUCAAAUAUUGACAUUGCUGUUUGAGGGCAUACAAGGUCACUGACAACCCACAGCCUCACUAAAGACCAUUCCACAUGCUUCUCUGUGGUUUCCACAGACCCUUGGACUGCUCUCCUGGGGCUAUCUUUGGCUGCCCAGUAUUCUUGAUUGCAGUACUAACCUGGGACGUUUUAACAUAACCAUGCGGCUCGACAAAACUUUUGAAUUGCUCUGGGCAAAAGUCUUCCAAGUCAAGAAGGUCAUGUUGUACAUGAUUAUGAUUGGAGAAGUCAUUUUAGUUGGGCUGCCGUAUGUCAGACAUGAUAAAAAAUAUUUCAUUCUGUCAAAAGUAAUAGUCUGUCAAAAAAUAUUGAUUCAGCACCCACUAUGUGCUGGGCCAUGUGCUAGAUUCAGAUGUUUAGUUUCUACUUUCCUGAAGGGACAAUUCUGGUAGGAUCCAGAGGACAGGGCUAGCCUGCUUAUUAAAAAAAAAAAAAAAAAAAAAAAAGUAAUACAUCUUCUUUUCCAGACAAGAAGAAUGGCAGGGAGUGGCCUAGUGACAUUAGUCAUUAUUUUGGUGUAACCCAUGCCUCACCCCAGCCUUGUUUACCUUCUGAUACUAUUGAAAGAUUAAAAGGUUGUACUUUCCCUACCUCUCCUUGGGAUAAGAACCCUUUUAAGCUGUUAGUUAACCCAAAUUAGGAUCUGGAAUACAUUAUCAAAGUAAAUACACUCAUGAAACAAAAGAAACCCCAACAAGCAUUCGGUUUAACCCCAGUGUCAAGAAUGCUUGUCUUUUGUUGCCAGACUAACACUGAUAAAUUAUUCAAGAAAAACAAAAAGAAAACUCUAUACCAAAAAUAAUGUUGCUCUUUAUUAUAUCAUUUUAUUUUUCAUAUUAUUAGGUAUGUGUCACAUGAUCUCCCAUUUUAAAUGAAAUUCCUUGUUUUUUCAUUUUAUGUUUUGCUUUGUUUUCAAAUAGUAUUUUAAACUGCUCCAAGAUUGCUAGGUAAGAUUCCACUCCUUUUGUCAGGAGGAAUAUUCCUUUUGUCAUUAGGAAUAACUCUAAUAGUUGUAAAGUGACAGAGAAGAACUUUAGAAAAUACAUUUGUAAGUCAAAAAGAAUGUCCUAAUGUUUACUUUUGAUUAUUCACACUUUUUUCCAUUCCAUUAUUUAAAUAUAGGUAACUGUUAUUGUUUCUAACAAAAUAGUACUAAACUGCUAAAUCUAUUCUUGCAAAUUUUCCUUGUUUAUAUUUCCAUCUUAAAAGUUAUCCCUCUCCAUUUCUAAAUUUUAUUUUAUUCCUGGUUUCCUGGAAUUCCCCAUUACCAGAUUUAUGUUCUUAUUGUUACAUUUAGGGGGUGUUAUGUUCUUUUGCUUAGAAAUGUAAUACGGUUUGGCUGUGUUCCCACCUAAAUCUCAUCUUGAAUUGCAGCUCCCAUAAUUGCCAUAUGUUGUGGGAGGGACCCAAUGGGAGAUAAUUGAAUCAUAAUGGUGAUUUCCCCCAUACUCACAAGAUCCGAUGGUUUUAUAGGGGUUUCCCCAGUUCGCUUGGCUUUCAUUCUCUCUUGCCUGCUGCCAUGUAAGAUGUGCCUUUUACCUUCCAUCAUGAUUGUGAGGCCUCCCCAGCCACAUGGAACUCUGAGUUUAUUAAACCUCUUUUUCUUUAUAAAUUACCUAGUCUUGGGUAUGUCUUUAUCAGCAGCAUGAAAGCAGACUAAUACAUAAUGGAAAUGAUUUUUACCCAAAAUUUGAUAUUUAAUUAUUAAGCUUUUCUAAAUACUUUCUUCUUUGCUCAACAGCAAAGAAGUUGUUGACAUUCUUUACUGUUUCCUGGGUUAUCCCAAGACUGCAGCAAAGGAACCUUGAAAUAAAACACUGAGCAGUGACAUCUCUUAUCACUGUGUCUUGCUAGAAUGGACUACAAAUGUCAAAUCUAUUGAGAGGGACUUCUUAAAACAUUCUUUCAAGAAAAUACUACCACAACCAAUUCGAAUAUUAACUCUAGCUUCACAUUUAAUAGCUUUUUAAAAUUAAGAAACAUUCUGACCUUCAUUUAAAAGACGCAUGAAUCUGUUUUUGUGUGCUAACCCCUUAACUUUCUUACCCCUCAAAGUACAUAUAUGUUAUUGUUCCAAAUUAGUUUUUAUAGCUAAAUAAUAAAUUUAUAUAUUUAACUUUUAACUGAAAAUAUUAACUUUUUAUCUUUCCUUUCCUCAAUUUCUGUUAGCACUUCUGAAGUAUAUUGUCAAAUUUUAAGUAGCUAUGUUCAACAUUAGUCUUGUGAAGCAGUUUUCUGUAGGAAUAGGAAAUUUGUCCCAAAUCAUAUUAAGAGUCAUUUUUCACAAAGCUCCUAUCUUUAACCCUCAUUACAUAGUACCCUUGGAUAUGCAGGCUAAGCAUUGUUUUCCAUGUACUAUGCAAUGUUGUAUCUGUGUUUGUGUGUGUGUGUGUGUGUGUGUGUGUGUGUGUGUGUGCGUGUGUUAUUUAGAAAUAUGAGAAUGAAGGGAAGAAUUGCAAGAAGCAGCUAAAAGAGUUGAAAGUGGCUGGCUUAGGGAAGUGUGGUUUGGGUAUGUGGGGGCAUACAGCACGAAACUGCUGGUUGUAGUUCACUUUAAAAAUGUGUGUUUCUGUGUGUGUGUCUGUGUGGUGUGUAUGUGGGUGGUGUGUAUGUGUGUUUCUGACAAAAGUAAAAACAAAAAUAAACAGAUUUCAAAAAAGUAUCCUACACUUUAGUAGAAUGGCAGAGACAUAGGGACAAUGUUAGAUAUUUCAGAAACAUAAGAGUCUUGCAUGGCCAGUGCCUAAGAUAUGGAGGGUAAAAGGCAUAAUUUUCUCAAUCAACAAAUAUUUGUCAGAGACCUAGUACUUGCCUAUCCCUGUGCUAGAUACUAUGGACACAAUGAUAAAAUAUCAUUAUUCUUAUCUUCAUCCUACUCUAUCUCAAACUAAUCCUGGGUGCUAUAGGCCUAUAUAAUGUAAUAUGACAAGUGGGCUAUAUGAUGAUAUGCAUCUACCAGAUACCUGGAAAGUAUAGACAGUGUCCUCCGAAGUCACCUGUGGCUGGCACUGAUGGCAAGGAGAGAUCACCAGCAGACAUGGAGGGAGACAGGGGCAGGAGUGCUACUCAAGCUUGGCCUGAUUGGGAAGGGCAGGGUAUUCGUCUUCAGUAUUUAGACUUCAUGGU
Molecule: long non-coding RNA, 6174 nt
Organism: Sapajus apella (tufted capuchin)
Lineage: Eukaryota; Metazoa; Chordata; Mammalia; Primates; Cebidae
Exons: 2
Source: RefSeq, a predicted model, not a curated record